CCUGGCUCAGGACGAACGCUGGCGGCGCGCCUAACACAUGCAAGUCGAACGAGAGAGAAGGAGCUUGCUUCUUCGAUCGAGUGGCGAACGGGUGAGUAACGCGUGAGGAACCUGCCUCAAAGAGGGGGACAACAGUUGGAAACGACUGCUAAUACCGCAUAAGCCCACGGGUCGGCAUCGAUCUGAGGGAAAAGGAGCAAUCCGCUUUGAGAUGGCCUCGCGUCCGAUUAGCUAGUUGGUGAGGUAACGGCCCACCAAGGCGACGAUCGGUAGCCGGACUGAGAGGUUGAACGGCCACAUUGGGACUGAGACACGGCCCAGACUCCUACGGGAGGCAGCAGUGGGGAAUAUUGCACAAUGGGGGAAACCCUGAUGCAGCGACGCCGCGUGGAGGAAGAAGGUCUUCGGAUUGUAAACUCCUGUUGUUGAGGAAGAUAAUGACGGUACUCAACAAGGAAGGACGGCUAACUACGUGCCAGCAGCCGCGGUAAAACGUAGGUCACAAGCGUUGUCCGGAAUUACUGGGUGUAAAGGGAGCGCAGGCGGGAAGACAAGUUGGAAGUGAAAUCUAUGGGCUCAACCCAUAAACUGCUUUCAAAACUGUUUUUCUUGAGUAGUGCAGAGGUAGGCGGAAUUCCCGGUGUAGCGGUGGAAUGCGUAGAUAUCGGGAGGAACACCAGUGGCGAAGGCGGCCUACUGGGCACCAACUGACGCUGAGGCUCGAAAGUGUGGGUAGCAAACAGGAUUAGAUACCCUGGUAGUCCACACCGUAAACGAUGAUUACUAGGUGUUGGAGGAUUGACCCCUUCAGUGCCGCAGUUAACACAAUAAGUAAUCCACCUGGGGAGUACGACCGCAAGGUUGAAACUCAAAGGAAUUGACGGGGGCCCGCACAAGCAGUGGAGUAUGUGGCUUAAUUCGACGCAACGCGAAGAACCUUACCAAGUCUUGACAUCCCUUGACGGACAUAGAAAUAUGUUUUCUCUUCGGAGCAAGGAGACAGGUGGUGCAUGGUUGUCGUCAGCUCGUGUCGUGAGAUGUUGGGUUAAGUCCCGCAACGAGCGCAACCCUUAUGGUCAGUUACUACGCAAGAGGACUCUGGCCAGACUGCCGUUGACAAAACGGAGGAAGGUGGGGAUGACGUCAAAUCAUCAUGCCCUUUAUGACUUGGGCUACACACGUACUACAAUGGCGUUAAACAAAGAGAAGCAAGACCGCGAGGUGGAGCAAAACUCAGAAACAACGUCCCAGUUCGGACUGCAGGCUGCAACUCGCCUGCACGAAGUCGGAAUUGCUAGUAAUCGUGGAUCAGCAUGCCACGGUGAAUACGUUCCCGGGCCUUGUACACACCGCC
RNAcentral lists this ribosomal RNA (1354 nucleotides) under uncultured bacterium. RNAcentral describes it as "bacterial SSU rRNA". It matches the Rfam family "Bacterial small subunit ribosomal RNA", at positions 18 to 1394 of the family's 1533-position model. The record is from RNAcentral.